CCUCUCCUGGCUGUGGUGUGAGGGGCUGGUCUGGAAGUUCCUCUCCCGGUGGGAAAGGCCUCUUCUGGCUGUAGUGAGAGGGCUGGUCUGGAAGUUUCUCUCCCGGUGGGAAAGGCCUCUCCUGGCUGUGGUGUGAGGGGCUGGUCUGGAAGUUUCUCUCCCGGUGGGAAAGGCCUCUCCUGGCGGUGGUGUGAGGGGCUGGUCUGGAAGUUUCUCUCCAGGUGGUAAAGGCCUCUCCUGGCUGUGGUGAGAGGGGCUGGUCUGGAAGUUUCUGUCCAGGUGGGAAAGGC
This 290-nucleotide long non-coding RNA is filed under the name Homo sapiens (human). Its description in RNAcentral is "HSALNT0068573". The record is from RNAcentral. Lineage: Eukaryota; Metazoa; Chordata; Mammalia; Primates; Hominidae.